Molecule: long non-coding RNA, 2009 nt
Filed under: Salmo salar (Atlantic salmon)
Lineage: Eukaryota; Metazoa; Chordata; Actinopteri; Salmoniformes; Salmonidae
Description: lncRNA (ENSSSAG00000042433.2)
Source: RNAcentral
CUGGGCGAGCCGGCCGAGACAUGGGCGCUGGGCAAGCCGGCUGGGGUAAACUCCCCACAAACUGGCAGGGACGUAGGAGCCUGACGAUCUGGCUAAGGCAUGAACGUCUGUCGAUCUCGCUGCGCGUGGAAGCACGAAGAUCCGGUGGAGCAUGACGUGGGAUGGGAACCUGACGAGCCAACCGAGGCAAGGAAACCUCGAGCCAGCUAGGACGUGGAAGCCCGACGAGCUGGCUUGGGCACCCUCGGUUCCAUCGGUGGCGGAAUCCAAGCCCGACGUCACCAACAAAACAACAAAACUUCUGGGCCGGCUGGGCAAACAAGACCUGACGAUCCGGCUGAGGCCCGACUUGGGAUGGGCGCCUUCCGAGCCAACCGGGGAAAGGAAACCUCUCGAGCUGGCUAGGCACCCCCGGUUCCAUCGGCAGCGACCCAGGACCAAGGUCACCACCAACUGGAACGCCAGUACUCCCCGAUGCUUCGUGUGUUGGCUGCUGCAUUCUGUAAGGAAUGACGCUGGAGAAUAGAAGCAGGUACAGGGAGUUGACAUUUAAUUAGGAAUGGACAUGCAACAGGACAGGAACAGCGUCAGAACUGGGAAACACAAAGACAGACGACAAACAAUGCAGCAGUGGGGAACAGAGCUGGGGAACUGACAAAUAUAGGGGAGGUAAUAAACAGGAGAUUGAGUGAGUCCAGAAUUCUAAUGAUGACCCGCCUCAGUGUAGCCCUCCAUACUACAGUGCCAGUAUCUAUUCCACGCUGAGGGAGUGGGGAUACUGACUGUCAACUGUGAGAUGUGGACACGCCCCGACAGCCCCUCACCUACAGCAUUGUGGGAGGGAACACUAACCGCAGAUUUACCAUGGAUGGAGCACAGCUGGUGUCCAGUGCCCAGUUCUCCUAUGGCACCCCAUGGUUUAUGAGCUGCUGGUCAGGGUUCAGGACCAUGGCAUGUCUGUAUGCUCCACUACUGCUACUGUCAUUGCCAAUGUGGUUCCCUGGACCACAACUCGACCAACAUCCAUCACCACCACCACGAUCAAGUGAUGAUGGGAAAGGUGACCUCGGACAAGCAGAGGAGGCAGAGGAGAAGCCCAACAUACCCUCAGAGAAGGACCCCGAGGAGGAGGAAGCUCUAGAGGAGAACCCCUUUACCAUGUUUAGUCUGACAACGUCUAACUGUCUACCCGUCAGUGAUAACACUUCACCAACCAUGAAAAAUACUUUUGCAGGUCUCACCUUCAGGAAAGAGGUCUUCUGACACAAAAUAAGAAUGUGUCAUAGCACACACAAUCUGACGUUUGAUUGAUUGUAAAUGUGAGGCCACGGUUCCAAGCAUCUCACUGCCUGGCAGUAAUGAUGUCACUUUAUUGAUUUACUGACGGAUUUACUCAUCGAAAUGGAAAGAUAAUUCCUUUUAAGUCUAUGGAUUUACUGGUUAUGACUGAAUGACUAAGACAAUUAUUUUUGUCAUUCACGCUCAGCGGUUCAACAGCAGAGCUCACGAUCCAGGUGAUGAUUUGUCUUUAGAUUCCGUUAGCCUGGUCCCAGAUCUGUUUGUGCUGUCAUGCCAACUCCUAUGGUCAUUGUCGUGUGACAGCAUAAAAAGAUCUGGGACCAGGCUAAUAGCUACACCCUUUCUCUUUAUAUGUCUCUGAGGUACCAUCUCUAACAUUGUCUUUCUUUCCUGUCUGUUUGCUUGUUAUUUGCUCAGACACUGGGAGAGCAGACCUCUUUAUCUCAAUCUCUUCGUUCAAAGACUCAAUCAUGGACACUCUUACUGACAGUUGUGGCUGCUUCGCAUGAUGUAUUAUUGUCUCUACCUUCUUGCCUUUGUGCUGUUGUCUGUGCCCAAUAAUGUGUGUACCAUGUUUUGUGUUGCUACCAUGUUUUUGUCAUGAUGUGUUGCUACCAUGGUGUGUUUUCAUGUGUUGCUGCCAUGCAAUGUUGUUGGCUUAAGGUCUCUCUUUAUGUAGUGUUGUGGUGUCUCUCUUGUCGUGAUGUGUG